GUACUGGCAUUGUUGGUUUCUCCCUUCUGACGAACCAUGAUGUCAUUUAUUUGGUGUUGUGGGGAAUCAGGACUGUUACUUUGAAAAAAUUAGAGUGUUUAAAGCAGGCUCACGCUUGAAUACAUUAGCAUGGAAUAAUGAAAUAGGACGUUUGAUUCUAUUUUGUUGGUUUCUAGGAUCGACGUAAUGAUUAAUAGGGAUAGUUGGGGGCAUUAGUAUUCAAUUGCCAGAGGUGAAAUUCUUGGAUUUAUUGAAGACUAACUACUGCGAAAGCAUUUGCCAAGGAUGUUUUCAUUAAUCAAGAACGAAAGUUAGGGGAUCGAAGACGAUCAGAUACCGUCGUAGUCUUAACCAUAAACUAUGCCGACUAGGGAUCGGAUGAUGUUAAUUCUUUAAUGACUCAUUCGGCGCCUUACG
This 417-nucleotide ribosomal RNA is filed under the name uncultured Glomeromycotina. RNAcentral's name for it is "SSU rRNA". It matches the Rfam family "Eukaryotic small subunit ribosomal RNA", at positions 677 to 1092 of the family's 1831-position model. Lineage: Eukaryota; Fungi; Glomeromycota. The record is from RNAcentral.